AUUACCCUUUCUGGGAUUGGGUAAUAGUUUUUCUAUUGCUUGAAACCUGAGAUUAUCAACAUUUCCCUGAUGGAAGUUCUUAAUGUGUCUUGCCACAGGUGUUGGAUUUAUGAUGUUUUUGAUAGAGUUAAUGUGUUGCAAAAUUCUGCGGCGAAAAGGUUGAUACGUCUUUCCAAUAUAUUGGAUACCACAUUUACAUGUGAUCAAAUAUAUCACACGAGU
This is a non-coding RNA of Pelobates cultripes (western spadefoot toad), 222 nucleotides long. The record is from the annotation of a GenBank genome assembly. NCBI's taxonomy places the organism in Eukaryota, Metazoa, Chordata, Amphibia, Anura, Pelobatidae.